CCUACGGGAGGCAGCAGUGGGAAUAUUGGACAAUGGGCGCAAGCCUGAUCCAGCCAUGCCGCGUGUGUGAAGAAGGCCUUCGGGUUGUAAAGCACUUUCAGCGAGGAGGAAGGGAUGUAUGUUAAUAGCAUGCAUUUUUGACGUUACUCGCAGAAGAAGCACCGGCUAACUCUGUGCCAGCAGCCGCGGUAAUACAGAGGGUGCAAGCGUUAAUCGGAAUUACUGGGCGUAAAGCGCACGUAGGCGGUUUUUUAAGUCAGAUGUGAAAGCCCCGGGCUCAACCUGGGAAUUGCAUUUGAAACUGGGGAACUAGAGUGUGUGAGAGGGGGGUAGAAUUCCAAGUGUAGCGGUGAAAUGCGUAGAGAUUUGGAGGAAUACCAGUGGCGAAGGCGGCCCCCUGGCACAACACUGACGCUCAGGUGCGAAAGCGUGGGGAGCAAACAGGAUUAGAUACCCUGGUAGUCCACGCCGUAAACGAUGUCUACUAGCUGUUCGUGUCCUUGUGAUGUGAGUAGCGCAGCUAACGCACUAAGUAGACCGCCUGGGGAGUACGGUCGCAAGAUUAAAAACUCAAAAGGAAUUGACGG
RNAcentral lists this ribosomal RNA (587 nucleotides) under uncultured bacterium. RNAcentral's name for it is "bacterial SSU rRNA". It matches the Rfam family "Bacterial small subunit ribosomal RNA", at positions 338 to 916 of the family's 1533-position model. The record is from RNAcentral.